Molecule: ribosomal RNA, 440 nt
Filed under: uncultured bacterium
Lineage: Bacteria
Description: partial 16S ribosomal RNA
Rfam family: Bacterial small subunit ribosomal RNA
Source: RNAcentral
CCUACGUGAGGCAGCAGUGGGGGAUAUUGCACAAUGGGGGAAACCCUGAUGCAGCGACGCCGCGGGUGGGAAGACGGUCCUCUGGAUUGUACACCACUGUCCCCAGGGACGAAGAUGACGGUACCUGGGGAGGAAGCUCCGGCUAACUACGUGCCAGCAGCCGCGGUAAUACGUAGGGAGCGAGCGUUGGCCGGAAUUACUGGGUGUAAAGGGAGCGUAGGCGGGACUGCAAGUUGGGUGUCAAAUCUACCGGCUCAACCGGUAGCCGCACUCAAAACUGCAGUUCUUGAGUGAAGUAGAGGCAGGCGGAAUUCCUAGUGUAGCGGUGAAAUGCGUAGAUAUUAGGAGGAACACCAGUGGCGAAGGCGGCCUGCUGGGCUUUUACUGACGCUGAGGCUCGAAAGUGUGGGGAGCAAACAGGAUUAGAUACCCCUGUAGUC